Astyanax mexicanus (Mexican tetra) is the source of this 289-nucleotide long non-coding RNA. RefSeq lists it as uncharacterized. NCBI's taxonomy places the organism in Eukaryota, Metazoa, Chordata, Actinopteri, Characiformes, Acestrorhamphidae. The transcript is spliced from 4 exons. The record is from RefSeq and is a predicted model, not a curated record.
UUCACUGUGGAAGCUGUGGUCAUUGUGGAAGCUGUGGUUGUUGCAGAAGCUGUGGUUGUUGCAGAAGCUGUGGUCGUUGAGGUCGCUGUGGGUGUUGAGGUCGCUGUGGGUGUUGAGGUCGCUGUGGGUGUUGAGGUCGCUGUGGGUGUUGAGGUCGCUGUGGGUGUUGAGGUCGCUGUGGGUGUUGAGGUCGCUGUGGGUGUUGAGGUCGCUGUGGGUGUUGAGGUCGCUGUGGGUGUUGAGGUCGCUGUGGGUGUUGAGGUCGCUGUGGGUGUUGAGGUCGCUGUGG